UGCAUGCUGCCACACUGAGUGGGAAACUAGCUAGGACCCAAGGUCAUGGCCAUGUUGUCCCAUGCUCAGCUCCUCAGCCUCUUCCUCCUCUGGAUCUCUGACUCCAGGGCAGAAACAACUGUCACCCAGUCUCCAGAAUUCCUUUCCAUGGCCAUAGGAGAAAAAGUCAGCAUCACUUGCAGAACCAGCACAGAUAUUGGUGAUGAUAUGAACUGGUACCAGCAUAAGACAGGGGAAGCUCCUAAGCUCAUGUUUUCAGAAGGCAAUACCCGUAUUUCUGGAGUUCCACCCCGGUUCACCAGCAGUGGCUACGGAACAGAUUUCACCAUGGCAAUUGAUGGCGUGCAGUCUGAGGAUGCUGGAAUUUACUUCUGUCUGCAAAGCGAUAAUUACCUCUCACAGUGACAUAUCCUCUUACAG
Molecule: non-coding RNA, 420 nt
Organism: Peromyscus leucopus (white-footed mouse)
Lineage: Eukaryota; Metazoa; Chordata; Mammalia; Rodentia; Cricetidae
Source: the annotation of a RefSeq genome assembly